Molecule: unclassified non-coding RNA, 391 nt
Filed under: soil metagenome
Description: partial contains 5.8S ribosomal RNA, internal transcribed spacer 2, and large subunit ribosomal RNA
Rfam family: 5.8S ribosomal RNA (bases 1-122)
Source: RNAcentral
GAUGAAGAACGUAGCGAAAUGCGAUACUUGGUGUGAAUUGCAGAAUCCCGUGAACCAUCGAGUCUUUGAACGCAAGUUGCGCCCGAAGCCACUAGGCCGAGGGCACGCCUGCCUGGGCGUCACACGCCGUUGCCCCCCCAUCUACUCCUUCGGGAUUGCGGGGGGCGGAUGAUGGCCUCCCGUGCGCCUCGUCGCGCGGUUGGCCUAAAUGCCAAGUCCUCGGCGACGCACGCCACGACAAUCGGUGGUUGCGAAACCUCGGUUGCCCGUCGUGUGCGGUCGUUGCGCAUCGAGGGCUCGAAAAAAUUGCCGGGCUUCGGCUCGACUUUCAACGCGACCCCAGGUCAGGCGGGGUUACCCGCUGAAUUUAAGCAUAUCAAUAAGCGGAGGA